GACGAACGCUGGCGGCGUGCUUAACACAUGCAAGUCGAACGGAAAGGCCCUGCUUUUGUGGGUUGCUCGAGUGGCGAACGCGUGAGUAACACGUGAGUAUCCUGCCCUUGUCUUUGUGAUAACUUCAGGAGACUGCGGCUAUUACCCCGGAUAAUCUCCUGCUCCGUGUUGUUGGUUGGUAAGUUUCGGCGUUUGUGGAUGGACUCGCUGCUUAUGAGCUUGUUUGGGGGGUUGGUGCUUUCAAAGCUUUUGACGGGUAGGCGGCCUGAGAGGGUUAACGGGCACAAUGCGACUGAGAGACGGCCCAGAAGGCUAUGGGAGGCAGCAGUGGGGAAUAUUGCACAAUGGGCGGAAGCCUGAUGCAGAAACGCCGCGUGCGGGAUACCGGCCUUUGGGUUGUAAACCGAUUUCGCCUGUGACGAAGAGUUAGUGACGGUAAUGGGUCAAGAAGCACCGGCUAACUACGUG
This 468-nucleotide ribosomal RNA is filed under the name uncultured bacterium. Its description in RNAcentral is "partial 16S ribosomal RNA". It matches the Rfam family "Bacterial small subunit ribosomal RNA", at positions 28 to 507 of the family's 1533-position model. The record is from RNAcentral.